Molecule: transfer RNA, 69 nt
Filed under: Culcita novaeguineae
Lineage: Eukaryota; Metazoa; Echinodermata; Asteroidea; Valvatida; Oreasteridae
Description: tRNA-Glu
Rfam family: tRNA
About the family: Transfer RNA (tRNA) molecules are approximately 80 nucleotides in length. Their secondary structure includes four short double-helical elements and three loops (D, anti-codon, and T loops). Further hydrogen bonds mediate the characteristic L-shaped molecular structure. tRNAs have two regions of fundamental functional importance: the anti-codon, which is responsible for specific mRNA codon recognition, and the 3' end, to which the tRNAs corresponding amino acid is attached (by aminoacyl-tRNA synthetases). tRNAs cope with the degeneracy of the genetic code in two manners: having more than one tRNA (with a specific anti-codon) for a particular amino acid; and 'wobble' base-pairing, i.e. permitting non-standard base-pairing at the 3rd anti-codon position.
Source: RNAcentral
AUUCACAUAGUUGAACGACAACAGCAGCCUUUCACGCCGCAGGUUUGGGUUAGACCCCCAAUGAGAAUU